RNA transcript from Symphalangus syndactylus (siamang), 7281 nucleotides. It is a transcript of the gene named ribosomal modification protein rimK like family member B, with no coding region annotated. Lineage: Eukaryota; Metazoa; Chordata; Mammalia; Primates; Hylobatidae. The record is from RefSeq and is a predicted model, not a curated record.
AGGCGAGUGAGGGAACGAGGAGCGGCCGGGUGUGAGUGUGUGGGAGUGAGAGUGUGUGGGAGUGGGGUGAGGGAGAGGCUGACGGGACGCGAGGCUGUGAGAAACUGGGCGAGUGUGCGAGGACGCCCGGCCAGCCUGCGGGAGCCGCGGUCAGCGGAGGAGAAAGGAGGCGGCUCCCGGUAUCCCGACCCCCUCCCCCUCCUCUCCUUCCCCCCACUUCCAGCCGCCCGGCGGCCCGCGCUUCCUCGAAGGCCCCAGCCCGGCUCAGUCGGCCGAGAGCGAGGGAGGAGCCCCCCGAACCAGGUGCUGGAGUCCGCUUGUCAGGGAGGGGGGCAGUCUGUGAUUCUGAGAACAGAGCCAAGAAGGGGAACAGCAAAUUCAGUCACAUACAAUCCUCCACUCAGUCAAGAGCCACUUUCCUCUUCCUGCCUUGCCCCCCGCAGGGGGUAAGGAACUGAGCGUUUAAUCUUUAGCCCAUUGGCUACCAGCUAAAAUUCUACUUAGUUUCUAGUGGAUAGCUUUCUUAUUUUGCCCAUGUUUCUUUAGAAUCCCUAUUUAAUAUACUUUUGUCAGUAGUAGCAUUUAGGAGUAGCAGGGAGAGUGACAAUAAAUUAGCCCCUUCUUUUUUCCCUUCUCAUUCAGGCCCCUUUUCCUCUCCAGAGGGAAAUUACCAGUAAACUCUUCUAAAUCUUCCACCCCUUCUCAGUCAUACUGUGAAGAAACACACUAAAGUGGACAUUAUUUGACCAGUGAACACGAACCCAGCUUCAGGCAUCGGUUUGUUGUGGCACAUGGAGAAACAUCUCUUUUAAAAUAUCUCCCAAUUACCCUUUUCACAAUUUGUAUCCACCUAGGAUUUGCUGCUGGGGUAAGUCACUAGAUUUAUUUCUCAAAGCUCCCCUCUCUAUGAGGUGAAAGACUGACCAACCAUGAACACUGGUAGGGGAUGGGGAAAGGGGACAGAGCAGAGCCAGUUGUUCCACACUUUGGGAAGCAGGAGUAGCUUUUAUCAUCUUCCUCUGGGGGAGCAGGCAUAGAGACAUAAACUGAGUGAAAAUGGGUGGAGGAAGAACUUCUAUACCCACGAACAACAUGUGAAGAGAGAGAACCAAACAUAAAGUAAGGAGGGUAGACGUUACAUCCAAGAGGAAAUAAUCCAAGCAAGGAAGCACAAGCUGAUCAAGAUGUGUAGUUCUGUGGCUGCCAAGUUGUGGUUUUUGACAGAUCGUCGCAUCAGGGAAGACUAUCCUCAGAAAGAGAUUUUACGAGCAUUGAAGGCCAAAUGUUGUGAGGAGGAGCUGGACUUUAGGGCUGUGGUGAUGGAUGAGGUGGUGCUGACAAUCGAGCAAGGAAACUUGGGUCUGCGGAUCAAUGGAGAGCUAAUCACUGCCUACCCACAAGUGGUGGUAGUCAGAGUACCAACCCCUUGGGUGCAAAGUGAUAGUGACAUCACUGUUUUGCGCCAUCUAGAGAAGAUGGGAUGUCGGUUAAUGAACCGACCUCAAGCCAUCCUGAACUGCGUUAAUAAGUUCUGGACAUUCCAAGAGUUGGCUGGCCAUGGUGUUCCUCUGCCAGAUACCUUCUCUUAUGGUGGCCAUGAAAAUUUUGCUAAAAUGAUUGAUGAAGCUGAAGUACUGGAGUUCCCAAUGGUAGUAAAGAAUACGCGGGGUCAUAGAGGUAAAGCUGUUUUCUUGGCUCGAGAUAAGCACCAUUUGGCUGAUCUAAGCCAUCUUAUUCGCCAUGAAGCGCCAUACCUGUUCCAGAAGUAUGUUAAAGAGUCUCAUGGACGGGAUGUACGUGUCAUUGUCGUGGGAGGCCGUGUGGUUGGCACCAUGUUACGUUGUUCAACAGAUGGGAGAAUGCAAAGCAACUGCUCAUUAGGUGGUGUGGGGAUGAUGUGCUCAUUGAGUGAACAAGGGAAGCAGCUAGCUAUCCAGGUGUCUAAUAUCCUGGGGAUGGAUGUGUGUGGCAUUGACCUGUUGAUGAAAGACGACGGCUCCUUCUGCGUCUGUGAGGCCAAUGCAAAUGUAGGUUUCAUCGCCUUUGAUAAGGCUUGUAAUCUAGAUGUAGCUGGUAUCAUAGCAGACUAUGCCGCCUCCCUUCUACCCUCUGGCCGGCUCACCCGGCGUAUGUCCCUGCUCUCCGUGGUGUCCACUGCCAGUGAGACUAGUGAGCCGGAGCUGGGUCCCCCAGCCAGCACUGCUGUUGACAACAUGAGUGCAAGUUCCAGCUCUGUUGACAGCGACCCUGAAAGCACGGAGCGAGAGCUGCUCACCAAGCUCCCAGGGGGCCUGUUCAACAUGAACCAGCUGCUAGCCAAUGAAAUCAAACUACUGGUGGACUGACUCCACUGGUAAUUAACCAACAAAACCCUUGUAAAACUUUCUUUUUUCUUUUCUAUUUUUAAAACCAACUUGCAAUGCUGUUCAUGGAGGAUGCUCAGGAAUAUGAGAGAAAAUUAGUAGGAUUAGUUGGAGAGAGUGGGAGAUAGAUGAGACCUCUGCUAGUAAGAUGUUACUUCAUUUACAAAUCCUACAAAUAGAGAGGCAGAUCAUUUACAAAUCCUACAAAUAGAGAGGCAGAAUAGGUGGGGUAUAGAAAAAUGUCAGGCUCUCAUAGUUACCCUUUUAAAUUGCUAAAAAAUUUGUAUGCUCAUAGGCCAUGAGGAACAAAUACUUUUUUUUUAAUGGUCCCUUGCUUUUGUUUUUGUACAAAAAAAAAUGGUUUUGCUACAAAUAUCCAAGUAGCAAACUUCACAUUGUGUUGGAAGAUUUGUCAUCAGUGAGGAAAACACCUGCUUAAAUUACAGGAAUUUUUGUGUUACACAGCUUUGAAAAUUCUGCCAUUUCCUUAUCUGCCUUUAGUUUGUAGUUUAUGAAAUCUUGAGGGGCUCUUUUACUGGGAUUUCUUAUUUUGCUUUUUCCCCCUUAAUUUGGUGGGAGGGUCAAAUUGAAUAUAACCCAAUAAAGGCUUCUUAAUGACAAAAUUGGCAUGUUUGCAUGAUGAAAUGGAAAUGAACAGUAUUGCAAUGUCCGGUAUACAAAAUAACAUUUAUUCAAUGUAGAUAAAAUUACACUAGUUUAAAAUAUGUGCAUUGACUUGUAUUUGUUAGUGUUUUAGUCUUUUUUGAAAGAUGUGCUCUGUUAAUGUUGCUUUUUUUUUUUAAUACAUGCUAGUCUAAUAUUUCCUGCUCUAUGCCUGCAUCUAUAACAAUGGCCAAAGUGAAGAAAAUGCUACCUUUUUUGUUAACAAGACACUGACUUGAAACAUGUACAUUUAAAGCGUUUUAUUUUUUCCCUUUUUGUUUUGGUGGUUGGGCAUUUAAGGACAAGGAAAAAUAUUUUUGGGGGCAAAUCAAGAGCCUAUGAGUUCUAAGUAUAAAGCUGAAGUGAUUUCGAAUGCCAGCAUUAUAUAUUUGCAUUUUUCACAUUUUACGAGGGAGUAUAUAUGUAUGUGUGUGCACGCAUGCAUGUGUAUGUGUUUUGCUUUUUGUUUACAUCAACUAAUCAAAAAGGAUAAUUUAGAAAAUGGAGCAUGAUGGGAAACAGAGUUUUUGACUUUAAAAAACAGAUGAGUUGUCUUCAUAAGUAGACUCCACUGGGGUAGAGGUAUUCACCUUAAAACAUAGGGUGAAUAGAUGCUUUUUUAGGCCUUUUUGUGUGUAUGUACGUUGUUUGUUUUUUUCUUUUUGUUUCUAGCCUGUUCAGUGUACGGUUUAUUCAAGGCUACAUGCUUUUCUUUAAUGCUUCUGGCUAUGCAUUUUCUCUUUUUACAUAUAGGAUUUGGGAUUGGGGGUGGGUUGGAUGUUUUUGUUUGGGGACUUAUUUAGUAGUAUUGAGUCUCUUAUAGCCCUACUCUUAAGCCUUCAAUACUGUCCACUCUUUAUAUUCCUUUACUUGCAGAAUUUAUAAAAGCCCCCAAACUGCAUAUAAUAUGAGCCUUUAAAACAUGGGUAAAACUAAUCCCAUUGAUGGGUUUGGAUGGUAUGUUAAGAAAUGGAGAUGCUGCAGACCCCAACGUAAUUUUUUAAACAGCAAGUUUUCCAUCUCCCUACAAAUCCUCUGAAGCUUUUACCCAAGCCCUUUCUUGCCUCUCCAGUGCUAUUUUCCUUCAGAUGGACGUUAAACAUAAUUUCUUGGACACUACUAGAGAGACUUCGAGGCAAUAAUAAAAGAUCAGUAUUAACCAGCUAUAACAGAGGUUUGAUCAUGCUUACUUGUACAGUUUUCCCCCCAUUUUAAAAAGGAAUGUAAUAAAAUUUGUUUUUUCCAUAGAAUUAAAUAAUAUUAAAAUUGAGUGAAAGGUUGAUUGUUGAUGAACAGAAUAGUACCUCUCAUCUGUGCAGUGUCUCAUUUCACCUCAGAGAAAAGGAUACAUAAGAGGAGUUUGUAAUUUAUCUUAGGAUAUUCUAAUUGCAUUUAAAAGAACUUAUCUUGCACAGGGUAAAUGGGGGACUCACAUACAUAUAUUAGUACCUCUGACUCAUUAACAGAAAGAAAUACUUGGUACUUCUUUCGCUGAAUGACCAUACUGUGGAGGAUGCAUACUAUUUGGUAUAGAGAAAAUGAGGAAGAAAGAACUGCUUAAUUAAAUCAUCAUUCAUAUGUUCAUGUAGAGACCAUCUGGUUGCCAUGUGUGUUAUGACACAUACACUUUGAAUAGUUAUAUAUCACAAGUAUGUAGAUUAAUACAUUUAAAAACAACCUCUUUAUUCAAUGAAAAGUUCAUGUUUGUGUUGGUGGGGUAAGGCAUCAGGAAAAAUGUAGUUAGUCUUUUCUUAACUUAUACCAAAUUAACCAACUAUAUUAUAGGAAAUAUGUGAAAUUAGUUCAUUAGCUUUAUUCACUAUUAUGCAUUCACAUGAUAUUAAAACGUACACUCACAUGUUAGAAUGAAAAGAGCAGUAGUUAUCUUAGAUUUUAAAAACAUGGAUAUCUUGAAUUCCUUCAAGAUGAAGGUAAAGAAUAAGAGCAAAUCAUUCUGGAAGUACCCUAAGGAAACAGCAGCAGAUAUUUAGGUUAAAUUUAUUUUCAUAAUUGUUUAAUAACUUUUGUAUAAUCUUCAUUGCUAUUAUGAGAUAAAAUGUAUAUAUCAAAUAUGUGUAAUGAUAAAAUCUGAAUUGUAAAAUUUUUGUAUAUUGUUAAAAUUGUAAUUCUAAAUUGUAUUUCAAAAAUAAUUAUUUCUGAUAUUGUUUUUAUGUCACCCAUGAUGAAAACUGGACUUUAUAUAUCGAAACAUAUAAGUAUGAACUAUUCUAUUUAAAAUUUUUAAUAGUUUUUUUCUUUUUUGGUGCCUAUAAUUGAUUGGUCAUUUCUGCUGGCUUUUCACCAAUGAACACUGAAAUCUUUCUGUAUAUGUUAUCAAUAAGAAAACUACCCUGGAACAGUAGAAAAACCCAACAAGAGACUUGGCAUUCAUCGAGCACGUUAUCAGACUUUGAGAAGAUAUUGAAGGCAUUGACUUUGAAAAUCAUCUUUUUCUCGAGAAGAAAGCAAUGGAGAAGCAAAUUUGCUUCAUUCAGUGAAUCCCCAGUUCGGGGCUUAUGGGGCUUAGAGACAUUGUGAAAUCAAAUCUUGUGUUAUACUUUUCUCCUGGCUCACUUUUUUUGAGAAGGUUUAUGGGCUAUUUGGCUGGUGAGACACGAUCCCCUCCUAAGAAAAUGUAGGUGCUCAGACAGGUAACCACUGCUGCUACUGUUUUUAUUUGUUUGUUUGUUCAAUUUUAUUUAAGAUUUGUUUUUGUUGUACUAGGAUUUUUUAAAAUGUAAUAUAUUGCAGGAUUUAUAACCAGGUUCACUGACUGCUUGCUUGCUUUCUUUUUUUUUUUUCUUCUUAAAAAAACAAAACAAAGUUUCAUUUAAAACACAUUUAGGCACCUUUGGAGCUUGGAUUUUGGAAUGUUUCAGUAGUGGACAGAAAUCUGCUGUUGGAAUCUUCUAGUCUUCCAGGUUUAAUUUGAAAUGUUUUUAGUUUUGUUUUGGAUUUUUGUGUGGUAUUUUAUUUCCUUUAUUACCAAUGCCAUUUUGCCAUGCUGUUUUGGGGUGGCUGCCUAACUCUAGUGAAAAUUAUUUCUAUAUUAACGAAAGUUUGGCCUUUGAAGAUCCUUAAUGUUUUGCAUUUUUUACAUUGUUUUUAAAGAAAUAUUCUAACUGCUUGCACUGUUACUGUUCUUUACCAGCCUUUUCAGGAGCCAAAAAAACAAAUACAAACAAACAAAAAAAUACCCAGAGAACAAACUUUCCUUCUUCCCCCUUCCUGAUGAUGAGUGAGAAGUAUUGAGAACUUUCGGGGUCAGUGCCCUUCUAAACUCCCCUUCCCCCAAUAAUGCAGCUGUAUAAUGAACGGUAAAUGCACCGGUUUGGAUUCAGGCACAGCCCCAGUCUGCCUGCAGGUGGCGUAUGUGUUCGUGUUUUAAUGUAUUCAGAGCCAUUGGGCAAUAAGCAGUCCAGAACAUUGAAAACUCAAGCAGGUAAAGCACCUAACACCCUUAGUUUCUAGAAUUACUUUAAAAAACUUUUAUAUUGCUGCAUCUUCCACAGUUCUUUGGGUAGUCUCUGAACUUAAAAUUUGUAGGAGUUGUAGACUACCUACUUAAAUUUUUAAGUUAUGGUAUUUGUUCAUAGAUUGUAGGGGUAGGUAAAGAAGGAAACAGAUAAGAAAAUGUCUUCUUGAGGUGGCAGCUGCUGAGUGGCUGAAUCUUACCACUUUCUGUUUUUUUUUGGAAAUUUUCCCAACUUAGCAUGAACUUUGAUCAUACAGUGUUUGAUUUUCUGUGAUUGAGAUUUUUGUUUUUUAUUUUCGGAGGGAAGGUCUUGGAGAAACAUUAAGAAGUUUUUGUAUAUACAAAAAUACGAAAUGUUAAACAAAGGAAUUUCUUCUUAUUUAAUCUGAAUGGUAAGCAAGAACUCUUUCUAUAUACCCUUCUGCUGCAGCAGACAACUAAACUGGUAGGUGGCAGCAGAGGAAGGAAUUCUUCAGAUUGAUGGCUACUGACUUAAAGUCUGCAUAGGAGAAGAGAUAGAGCAUGACAUAUACCAAGUGAAGCAAGGGGGACAAAAAUGGAAACAGGACUAAGAUUCCUGCAUUUUGACUCUAAAUGGUUCUUUUGAUGUAACCAGUGAUCCUUUUUGCUUACCCCCAUCAACAGAAUGGAUGAAGACAGAUUUGACUAUGUGCUCUUUCAAAGUGGAGAAUAUGAAUAUACAGAACAAGAAAGCAAUAACUCUAACCUGUUUGAUUCCGUCUGUUUUCUAAAUAAAGACACGAUGCACUGGAAAUAAAA